AGAGUUUGAUCAUGGCUCAGGACGAACGCUGGCGGCGUGCUUAAUACAUGCAAGUCGAACGAGGUCCAUUCGGUGGCAACACCGGAGAAGACCUAGUGGCGAACGGGUGAGUACCACGUGAGCAACCUGCCCCGAAGACUGGGAUAACACCGGGAAACCGGUGCUAAUACCGGAUACCCCCAUCGGAUCGCAUGAUCUGG
Molecule: ribosomal RNA, 200 nt
Filed under: uncultured bacterium
Lineage: Bacteria
Description: partial 16S ribosomal RNA
Rfam family: Bacterial small subunit ribosomal RNA
Source: RNAcentral